Molecule: ribosomal RNA, 271 nt
Filed under: uncultured prokaryote
Description: partial 16S ribosomal RNA
Rfam family: Bacterial small subunit ribosomal RNA
Source: RNAcentral
UACGGAGGAUCCGAGCGUUAUCCGGAUUUAUUGGGUUUAAAGGGUGCGCAGGCGGGAGAUUAAGUCGGCGGUGAAAUUUUGCAGCUCAACUGUAAAAGUGCCUUCGAUACUGGUUUCCUUGAGUGUGGAUGAGGUAGGCGGAAUUUGUGGUGUAGCGGUGAAAUGCUUAGAUAUCACGAGGAACUCCGAUUGCGCAGGCAGCUUACUAAACCACUACUGACGCUCAGGCACGAAGGCGUGGGGAUCAAACAGGAUUAGAUACCCCCGUAGU